This 305-nucleotide ribosomal RNA is filed under the name uncultured bacterium. Its description in RNAcentral is "bacterial SSU rRNA". It matches the Rfam family "Bacterial small subunit ribosomal RNA", at positions 337 to 640 of the family's 1533-position model. The record is from RNAcentral.
UCCUACGGGGGGCAGCAGUGAGGAAUAUUGGUCAAUGGACGAGAGUCUGAACCAGCCAAGUAGCGUGAAGGAUGACUGCCCUAUGGGUUGUAAACUUCUUUUAUAAAGGAAUAAAACGAGGCACGUGUGCCUUUUUGCAUGUACUUUAUGAAUAAGGAUCGGCUAACUCCGUGCCAGCAGCCGCGGUAAUACGGAGGAUGCGAGCGUUAUCCGGAUUUAUUGGGUUUAAAGGGUGCGUAGGCGGAUUUUUAAGUCAGCGGUAAAAUGUCCGGGCUCAACCCGGGCCGGCCGUUGAAACUGGGGAU